GACGAACGCUGGCGGCGUGCCUAAUACAUGCAAGUCGAGCGGACGGAUGGGAGCUUGCUCCCAGACCGUCAGCGGCGGACGGGUGAGUAACCCGUGGGCAACCUGCCUGUAAGACUGGGAUAACUCCGGGAAACCGGGGCUAGUACCGGAUAACUCUUUCCCUCACAUGAGGGAAAGCUGAAAGAUGGCAUCUCGCUAUCACUUACAGAUGGGCCCGCGGCGCCUUAGCUAGUUGGUGGGGCAACGGCUUCCCAAGGCGACGAUGCGUAGCCGACCUGAGGGGGUGAUCGGCGACACGGGGGCGGAGACACGGCCCUGACUCCUACGGGAGGCAGCAGAAGGGAAUCUUCCGCAAUGGACGAAAGUCUGACGGAGCAACGCCGCGUGAGUGAUGAAGGUUUUCGGAUCGUAAAACUCUGUUGUCAGGGAAGAACAAGUACCGGAGUAACUGCCGGUACCUUGACGGUACCUGACCAGAAAGCCACGGCUAACUACGUG
This 498-nucleotide ribosomal RNA is filed under the name uncultured bacterium. Its description in RNAcentral is "partial 16S ribosomal RNA". It matches the Rfam family "Bacterial small subunit ribosomal RNA", at positions 28 to 507 of the family's 1533-position model. The record is from RNAcentral.